CCAGAAUAAAAGUAGUUAAGUUCUUCAUAACUCAAAGAAUUUGGCGGUUGAUAAAAAUUUCAGAGGAACCUGUAUGUUAAUUGAUAAACCACGAUAAUAUCUAUCUUUAUGUUUAUUUGUAUAUCUCUAUAUAAGGGGAAUGUUUUUUCAGGACUAUUUUCUUUUAGACAAAAUCUUUAAUUUUAGGUCAAGGUGCAGUUUUAUAAAGGUUUAUAUGGGUUACUUAAAUUUUUAUUUAUUAUUUUAUUCUUGGGGAAUUUAUUUAGGAUUUGAUAGUAAUUUAAAUUAAUUAAUUCUUUUGAAUUGU
RNAcentral lists this ribosomal RNA (307 nucleotides) under Membracis tectigera. RNAcentral describes it as "partial 12S small subunit ribosomal RNA". Lineage: Eukaryota; Metazoa; Arthropoda; Insecta; Hemiptera; Membracidae. The record is from RNAcentral.